CGCUGGAGAACUGCAGUUCAGGAUCAACACGAGCUGCAGCAGCACACAGGAGACUGAAGCUUUAAACUCAUCCAGUUGUAAACAAAGUCAUCAUUUUGACAGGAUUUCGACUCGCAAAACAUCGUGGGUUAACUCUGUGCACUCAACUGAGAGGAUGUCUUCUGGUGAUGGAUCUACACUGAUAUCUGUUCAUUACGCUGCACAUGUCGUCUCUCUCUCGUCUCUGAUGGACUCAGUUCAGCUCAUGCAGCUCUCUGAAACAUGCUGAGGAUUUCAAGAAGAGA
This 284-nucleotide long non-coding RNA is filed under the name Danio rerio (zebrafish). RNAcentral's name for it is "lncRNA si:dkey-14d8.24 (ENSDARG00000097044.3)". The record is from RNAcentral. Lineage: Eukaryota; Metazoa; Chordata; Actinopteri; Cypriniformes; Danionidae.